AUGAACGCUGGCGGCGUGCCUAAUCCAUGCAAGUCGCGCGAACGGACGAGAAGCUUGCUUCUCUGAUGUUAGCGGCGGACGGGUGAGUAACACGUUGAUAACCUACCUAUAAGACUGGGAUAACUUCGGGAAACCGGAGCUAAUACCGGAUAAUAUUUUGAACCGCAUGGUUCAAACGUGAAAGACGGUCUUGCUUUCACUUAUAGAUGGAUCCGCGCUGCAUUAGCUAGUUGGUAAGGUAACGGCUUACCAAGGCAACGAUGCAUAGCCGACCUGAGAGGGUGAUCGGCCACACUGGAACUGAGACACGGUCCAGACUCCUACGGGAGGCAGCAGUAGGGAAUCUUCCGCAAUGGGCGAAAGCCUGACGGAGCAACGCCGCGUGAGUGAUGAAGGUCUUCGGAUCGUAAAACUCUGUUAUUAGGGAAGAACAUAUGUGUAAGUAACUGUGCACAUCUUGACGGUACCUAAUCAGAAAGCCACGGCUAACUACGUG
RNAcentral lists this ribosomal RNA (496 nucleotides) under uncultured bacterium. Its description in RNAcentral is "partial 16S ribosomal RNA". It matches the Rfam family "Bacterial small subunit ribosomal RNA", at positions 29 to 507 of the family's 1533-position model. The record is from RNAcentral.